Peromyscus californicus insignis is the source of this 4167-nucleotide long non-coding RNA. RefSeq lists it as uncharacterized. NCBI's taxonomy places the organism in Eukaryota, Metazoa, Chordata, Mammalia, Rodentia, Cricetidae. The record is from RefSeq and is a predicted model, not a curated record. The transcript is spliced from 5 exons.
CUGCUGACCUCAGUGUGGGGGGCAUCUGCAGGAGCCAGGGGAGAGGUGGGGAGACUCUGGUUGCUAGAUACUGCUGGCUGCUGGGUGGUAGAAGGGAUCACCCAUGAGGGACCAGGGCGUGUGGGCCAGCUGAGGCAGCCUGAGGGACAGAGCAGGACGAUUGUCCUUCUAGCUCUUGUAUCACCACUAACCUGGGUUUCUGGAGACUUCUGUCCCCAUCUGGAAAUAAACUGUCACUUUUCUUUCAGGGUUAGCUGUACCAGACUCUCUCAUCAGAGGUUGCCUACUUGCAAUGCCUCCGAUAAAUUGCAUUAUUUCCUCCACAUUCCUAGUUCCACAAGGGCACACAUGGAGACAGGCUCUGAAGCGGGUGAACCCCGGACACAAACCAUGGGCUGGCCAGACACCCAGAUGACACCAAAGACUUUUCCAAGCAAGCCUCCAUGGACAUCACCCUGGGUGAGCCUCUGAUCAAAGAGAUUACUAAUGCUUCCAAGGCUACCUGCUGGUAAUAUCAAUGGAAGAGCUGCAGCAACAGAGAAAUAUUUCUGCCACUGCUGAUGAGUUUAAUGCUGUGUCUUCCAGUCCUAGAGAUGUACAGCAAACUGAGGGCCCAGAAGAAAAGGAAAAGGUCUAAUUGAAGACAGAUUCAACACACAAGAGGAAGUAGAAAAGAAGAUGAUGCAGCUUGCCCCCACCAUACCCCAGGAUAUCAGAGAAUAGGAAAGCCAUCAUGAAUGUCUGAAACUUACUGAAGCCCAUGAGAGAAGGCCCUAGUUUGGGGUAUCUGGACUGAGCUAGCUGGCUAUUUUGGUUCUAGGGGGUUGCACCAUUUGAGUCUCAGGAGAAGAAUACAUGAAGUUGUUUGUGUGAUUAACCUUUCCCUUUGGGAGGAGGUGUUCAUGGUUCUCUCUGUAACUAGGAUUAUGGUCAGGGGCAGUGAGUGUGGGGUGAUGAGGCAUCCUGCUCAGAUCUUUUUGCUAUGGCUGUAAUUCUACUGAUGCUUCGGACUAUCACUUUUAGCAUCUGACUCAGACACCUCUCUGAACUUCUCUGCCUCAUCUCUGUUUACAGGAUUCUCUUUGUGGUGCCAGCUCAAAGGCAGUUUGCAAUAGGUUUCAUUGAUUUCCUGGGAAGCGUUUGACUGCACACCCAGCAAUUGGUCAUAGCUGUUCUUAGGUAGAAGGGACUGGGUAGAUUGACCCAGUAGGCCUGCAAUAACCCACCCACCCCUAAGGAUGGGAGAGGUGUCUACAAGAACUCAAUUGUCACACUUAUCAUCCUUCUGAUUUCUGUGUUAACUGUUCCUCUUGUGAUGAGGGCUGGCUCAGGGCCAGUCUGGUGGCUCUCACUUACUCACUUCAGGUGCUCCUUGCCAUGGUGGUCUGACCAGAGCUCUGUGUCCUCUUCCUCCUUAAGCUCUCCUGGCCAGUCUCUACAAUGUGUGUGACCUUGUGUUGAUGUCACAAAGGGCCCUUUCAGAGUCAGAGGCUGAAAGGAGAUAGGGGAAAGGGAGUGCAGCAUUUUCCCAGAGUCCUCUGGGGUGUCCUCGUGUGCACUGAACUGGUAGGACAGAUGGGCUGGGUCAGCAGCUGGCAGGGGGCUCCAUCUCCAUGGAGCAACCCUACCAUGGUCAUCUCAUUCUGUCCUCCAGGAGCUGAGUUACCUUACCCAUUUUCCCCAUUGGCCUCAGGUUCCCACCUUCAAGAACCCAAUCUAAGUUGGAGCAGGCAGGAAUAGGAGGAUGACGACAUGCUUACUGAAUGCCAAGGACCAUCCACUGUAUUUCAUAGGCAGCCUUUAGUCCUGGAGGAAUGUACUUUCCCAGGCCUCAGUGGCUCACAAUACUCUUAUUAUUUAAAUGACAGAAGUGUUAAGUGCUUGAAACAUAUCAAAGUAUCAGGAUGUUUGUAAAGUAAAAUGGCCCUUCCCAGAAAAGAUGCAGAGUCACAUUUCCCAGUGAAACACUGUUCUGCCUGGCGUGUUGUUCUACUUUUGUGUGUAUGUGUGAUGCUGAGAGUGUUAUGUGACAAAACUUUUCAUGGGGAGACACCACACACAUUUACUUACCCCAGAUAGGGAGUCCAUGACAGACCGAAGUACAGAUACCACCGAAGUCCAACCUUGAGAACCAGUGAGUUUUAUUGGGUUAUUACAGGAAUGUGGGUGAGAGGUCACUCACAGGAGCAGAAAUGACUCAAAGACCGCUGCGUCACCCAAGCCCACCCCAGCAUGGUGACAGCUCACAGAGCUGGGAACCUGGAGACACUGCACAGCCUGAAGGCAGCUCAGCAGGUUGGACACUGUCUUUUCUGGGUGCCUCAGUUGGUCUAAACUGAAAGGUUUAAACUUUCCCACUUCAAUAACUGAAUUUAGGUUUCAGUUCUCUGAAAGAAGCCAACAGAUGUCUCUUCCAACAAAGCUCCAUUUAUCAACAAAUGACCUUCAGGGAUGAGGGAGAGAGCACAAAGAAGCCUGAGUCAGCCCCACAAUGUCUCAAGGACAGUUCCUGCAACCCCUUGAAUCUCACCCAAAGUUGUGAGAGAGAAAACCUCAGCCAGUUAAAAGUAUGCUAAUGUCACUGCUGCUUGCCUAACCAAUAAUGUUUGAGAUGACCUAACCGUGCCUCAAAUCCCCUAGCUAUGCUUAACCUGCAUGCUCCUAUCGGAUCUCGGCCAUGGUGUCCAGGUGAAUGCCCAGGUGUAUGCUGGUAUUGUAAUACACACUAUUUGAGUCUGGGGUCUUCCUUCAGCGUUUCCUUGGACCUCAACAAAGUCUCUUCCAGGCAGCUGUUGGGGGUUCUGUUUUUUCAUUAGCUGGUCUGGUCUCAGCCUCUUCUUCCCAGCUUGGUCCUGCCCCUCACAGGCACUCUCAGCUUUUACUGUUUACUCUGGCAGGAAAGACCUAGUGAAUCUGGUCAGUUUGGGGCCUUUCUGGAUACAUUUAAGGUGUUUACCUUCCUGCUUUAGGAGCUUCCCUGGGGGAUGGAAUAUUUCAGUCUCAGAGGAAACUGUUGUACACCAGAGGGUUGGACUCAGGAGUGGUAGGUAAGCACUCCAGCCUGAGCUACAUCUGAAGCCCUACAUAUAUGUUUUUACUUUAUAAUUGAAAUUACAUCUUGGCUCAGACAUAAAGACAUAGAAAUGGCACAUGUAAUUAACAGUGUAGGCACAGUUGUGUAUCGCUGGCAGGUCUGGAACUCACUGUGUAAACCAGGUUGGCCUCAAACGCACAGAGAUCUGCCUGGCUCUGCCUUCUCAGUGCUGGGUUCAAAGGCAUGCGCCGCCACAUCAGGCCCUAUCAUUCUCAUUCUAGUUUUGUGUUCUGGAUCUUUACAUAUCUUGUAAACUUGUCUCCCAUUCUGCAAACAUUUUAAGCAUUAAUUUCUAUCAUUAAUCUUUCUACUGUUGAAGUUAUUUAGCCACAAGUGAUGUAAAGCUCAUUUCCAGUGCCCAAAAACUGCCCCUACCAGCUGGGUCCAGAACUUCCCAGACAGGUGUGGUGUGCAUACCUAGCACUCAGAAUAUAGAGACAGGAGGAUCAGGUUUUCAAAGGCCAUGCAGGGCUACAUGAGCUCCCAUCUAAAAUAAUACAAAUUUUCAAAACAUUCCCAUCUUCCCCAACAAAAGUUGGUCCCAAUCCAGCACUAACCCUCCCCUACGACUGUCGGUGCCCACCAUGUUGCUCUGUCUCUAUGUGAACUCUUGGUUCUGGAGACUUCAGACUGUGGGUCACCACACUGUCGUGGACUGGCUUAUUUUUCUCAGCAUGAUGCACAUACACUAUCAUGUGUCAGUUCUCCCUUACUUCUUAAAGCUUAGUUACCACCCUUGCUUGGACAGCCCCAUCGUAUCCUCUGACCCUUUGGUGGACCCAAGUCUUAGCUGUAGUGAAAUGCCACUGUGAAUGAGGUAUGCAGACACAUGCCUGAGUCUCUAUUUUCCUUCCUUUGGGUGUCUACUCAUUUCUUUUGUUGUUUUUUUGUUUUGUUUUUUGAGACAGGGUUUCUCUGUGUAGCUUUGCGCCUUUCCUGGAACUCACUUGAUAGUCCAGGCUGGCCUCGAACUCACAGAGAUCCACCGGGCUCUGCCUCCCGAGUGCUGGGAUUAAAGGCGUGCGCCACCACCUCCCGGCGGGUGUCUACUCUUGAUAUUCCUCUAAAACACA